RNAcentral lists this ribosomal RNA (671 nucleotides) under uncultured Methanomicrobiaceae archaeon. RNAcentral describes it as "bacterial SSU rRNA". It matches the Rfam family "Archaeal small subunit ribosomal RNA", at positions 117 to 796 of the family's 1478-position model. The record is from RNAcentral. Lineage: Archaea; Methanobacteriati; Methanobacteriota; Methanomicrobia; Methanomicrobiales; Methanomicrobiaceae.
CGGUGGGAAUACCCGGGAAACUGGGGAUAAUGUCCCAUAGGCUACGGAUACUGGAAUGUUCUGUAGUCAAAAGAUUUAUCGCCACAGGAUGGGUCUGCGGCCGAUUAGGUAGUUGUUGGGGUAAAGGCCCAACAAGCCUUUGAUCGGUACGGGUUGUGGGAGCAAGAGCCCGGAGAUGGAUUCUGAGACACGAAUCCAGGCCCUACGGGGCGCAGCAGGCGCGAAAACUUUACAAUGCGGGAAACCGUGAUAAGGGAACUCCGAGUGUCCGUAAAUUCGGACUGUCCGUAUGUUUAAAAAGCAUACGAAGAAAGGGCCGGGCAAGACCGGUGCCAGCCGCCGCGGUAAUACCGGCGGCUCGAGUGGUGGCCACUAUUACUGGGCUUAAAGCGUUCGUAGCUUGGUUGUUAAGUCUCUUGGGAAAUCUAUCGGCUUAACCGAUAGGCGUCCAGGGGAUACUGGCAAUCUAGGGACCGGGAGAGGUGAGGGGUACUUCAGGGGUAGGAGUGAAAUCCUGUAAUCCUUGGGGGACCACCUGUGGCGAAGGCGCCUCACCAGAACGGCUCCGACAGUGAGGGACGAAAGCUGGGGGAGCAAACCGGAUUAGAUACCCGGGUAGUCCCAGCCGUAAACGAUGCACGUUAGGUGUAUCGAUGACCACGAGUCAUCGA